Molecule: ribosomal RNA, 179 nt
Filed under: uncultured bacterium
Lineage: Bacteria
Description: partial 16S ribosomal RNA
Rfam family: Bacterial small subunit ribosomal RNA
Source: RNAcentral
UGAGGAAUAUUGGUCAAUGGGCGAGAGCCUGAACCAGCCAAGUAGCGUGAAGGAUGACUGCCCUAUGGGUUGUAAACUUCUUUUAUAAAGGAAUAAAGUCGGGUAUGGAUACCCGUUUGCAUGUACUUUAUGAAUAAGGAUCGGCUAACUCCGUGCCAGUAGCCGCGGAAUAUGAGUCU